GAUGAACGCUGGCGGCGUGCUUAACACAUGCCAGUCGAACGGAAAGGCCCCUGCUUGCAGGGGUACUCGAGUGGCGAACGGGUGAGUAACACGUGGGUGAUCUGCCCUGCACUUCGGGAUAAGCCUGGGAAACUGGGUCUAAUACCGGAUAGGACCACAUUUUGGAUGGUGUGGUGGAAAGAUUUUCGGUGUGGGAUGAGCUCGCGGCCUAUCAGCUUGUUGGUGGGGUAAUGGCCUACUAAGGCGUCGACGGGUAGCCGGCCGGAGAGGGUGUAGGGCGACAUUGGGACAGAGAUACGGCCCAGACUCCUACGGGAGGCAGCAGUGGGGAAUAUUGCACAAUGGGCGCAAGCCUGAUGCAGCGACGCCGCGUGGGGGAUGACGGCCUUCGGGUUGUAAACUCCUUUCGCUAGGGACGAAGCGUUUUUGUGACGGUACCUGGAGAAGAAGCACCGGCUAACUACGUG
Molecule: ribosomal RNA, 467 nt
Filed under: uncultured bacterium
Lineage: Bacteria
Description: partial 16S ribosomal RNA
Rfam family: Bacterial small subunit ribosomal RNA
Source: RNAcentral